ACAUACGACCAUACCCAUUGGAAAACUCGGGAUCCCGUCCGCUCUCCCCGAUAAACCAGUGAGGGCUAAACCAGUGAGGGCUGGAGUAGUAGUCGGGUCGGUGACGACCGGCGAAUGCCCGGUGUUGUAUGUU
This 133-nucleotide ribosomal RNA is filed under the name Colletotrichum fructicola Nara gc5. The record is from RNAcentral. Lineage: Eukaryota; Fungi; Ascomycota; Sordariomycetes; Glomerellales; Glomerellaceae.